RNAcentral lists this ribosomal RNA (115 nucleotides) under Erinaceus europaeus (western European hedgehog). Lineage: Eukaryota; Metazoa; Chordata; Mammalia; Eulipotyphla; Erinaceidae. The record is from RNAcentral.
AUCUAUGCCCAUACCACCCUGAACAUGCCUGAUCUCAGCUGAUCUCAGAAGCUAAGCAGGGUCAGGCAUGAUUAGUACUUAGAUGGGAGAGCCAUUUACUCACUUGUUGGUGCUC